This 362-nucleotide ribosomal RNA is filed under the name uncultured bacterium. RNAcentral's name for it is "bacterial SSU rRNA". It matches the Rfam family "Bacterial small subunit ribosomal RNA", at positions 29 to 420 of the family's 1533-position model. The record is from RNAcentral.
AACGAACGCUGGCGGCAGGCUUAACACAUGCAAGUCGAGCGCCUCGCAAGGGGAGCGGCAGACGGGUGAGUAACGCGUGGGAAACUACCCUUUGGUACGGAAUAACACAGAGAAAUUUGUGCUAAUACCGUAUGAGCCCUUCGGGGAAAGAUUUAUCGCCAUAGGAUGUGCCCGCGUAGGAUUAGCUAGUUGGUGUGGUAAUGGCGCACCAAGGCGACGAUCCUUAGCUGGUCUGAGAGGAUGAUCAGCCACACUGGGACUGAGACACGGCCCAGACUCCUACGGGAGGCAGCAGUGGGGAAUAUUGGACAAUGGGGGCGAACCCUGAUCCAGCAAUGCCGCGUGAGUGAAGAAGGCCUCGG